GUCGAACGAUCUGGAGAGAGAUGCCCAGAGCAUCCACCGAAGGGGAACGCCGAUACUAAGCCGUCGGUCAAGCUCUCAGGUAAACUAACAGAUUUGGGGAU
Molecule: non-coding RNA, 101 nt
Filed under: Ensifer fredii
Lineage: Bacteria; Pseudomonadati; Pseudomonadota; Alphaproteobacteria; Hyphomicrobiales; Rhizobiaceae
Description: Sinorhizobium fredii Glycine sequence
Rfam family: Glycine riboswitch aptamer
About the family: This family represents the bacterial glycine riboswitch.
Source: RNAcentral